AGUGAGCGGCAAAAGCUCAAAUUUGAAAUCUGGCUCUUUCAGUAGUCCGAGUUGUAAUUUGAAGAAGGUAUCUUUGGGUCUGGCUCUUGUCUAUGUUUCUUGGAACAGAACGUCACAGAGGGUGAGAAUCCCGUGCGAUGAGAUGAUCCAGGCCUAUGUAAAGUUCCUUCGAAGAGUCGAGUUGUUUGGGAAUGCAGCUCUAAGUGGGUGGUAAAUUCCAUCUAAAGCUAAAUAUUGGCGAGAGACCGAUAGCGAACAAGUACAGUGAUGGAAAGAUGAAAAGAACUUUGAAAAGAGAGUGAAAAAGUACGUGAAAUUGUUGAAAGGGAAGGGCUUGAGAUCAGACUUGGUAUUUUGUAUGUUACUUCUUCGGGGGUGGCCUCUACAGUUUAUCGGGCCAGCAUCAGUUUGGGCGGUAGGAGAAUUGCGUUGGAAUGUGGCACGGCUUCGGUUGUGUGUUAUAGCCUUCGUCGAUACUGCCAGCCUAGACUGAGGACUGCGGUUUAUACCUAGGAUGUUGGCAUAAUGAUCUUAAGUCGCCCGUCU
This 546-nucleotide ribosomal RNA is filed under the name Candida tropicalis. Its description in RNAcentral is "eukaryotic LSU rRNA". It matches the Rfam family "Eukaryotic large subunit ribosomal RNA", at positions 92 to 654 of the family's 3401-position model. The record is from RNAcentral. Lineage: Eukaryota; Fungi; Ascomycota; Pichiomycetes; Serinales; Debaryomycetaceae.